Molecule: transfer RNA, 59 nt
Filed under: Syphacia muris
Lineage: Eukaryota; Metazoa; Nematoda; Chromadorea; Rhabditida; Oxyuridae
Description: tRNA-Thr
Source: RNAcentral
GCUAUAGUAUUUUAAAUUUGGUAGAAUAUAAAAUUUGUAAUUUUAAGGUUGGUAUAGUA